Molecule: ribosomal RNA, 451 nt
Filed under: uncultured bacterium
Lineage: Bacteria
Description: bacterial SSU rRNA
Rfam family: Bacterial small subunit ribosomal RNA
Source: RNAcentral
GUGGGGAAUAUUGGACAAUGGGGGGAACCCUGAUCCAGCCAUGCCGCGUGUGUGAAGAAGGCCUUUUGGUUGUAAAGCACUUUAAGCGAGGAGGAGGCUACUCUAGUUAAUACCUAGGGAUAGUGGACGUUACUCGCAGAAUAAGCACCGGCUAACUCUGUGCCAGCAGCCGCGGUAAUACAGAGGGUGCGAGCGUUAAUCGGGUUUACUGGGCGUAAAGCGUGCGUAGGCGGCUUUUUAAGUCGGAUGUGAAAUCCCUGAGCUUAACUUAGGAAUUGCAUUCGAUACUGGGAAGCUAGAGUAUGGGAGAGGAUGGUAGAAUUCCAGGUGUAGCGGUGAAAUGCGUAGAGAUCUGGAGGAAUACCGAUGGCGAAGGCAGCCAUCUGGCCUAAUACUGACGCUGAGGUACGAAAGCAUGGGGAGCAAACAGGAUUAGAAACCCGAGUAGUCC